This 465-nucleotide ribosomal RNA is filed under the name Vreelandella stevensii. RNAcentral describes it as "partial 16S ribosomal RNA". It matches the Rfam family "Bacterial small subunit ribosomal RNA", at positions 338 to 795 of the family's 1533-position model. Lineage: Bacteria; Pseudomonadati; Pseudomonadota; Gammaproteobacteria; Oceanospirillales; Halomonadaceae. The record is from RNAcentral.
CCUACGGGCGGCAGCAGUGGGGAAUAUUGGACAAUGGGCGAAAGCCUGAUCCAGCCAUGCCGCGUGUGUGAAGAAGGCCUUCGGGUUGUAAAGCACUUUCAGUGGGGAAGAAAGCCUUGGGGCUAAUACCCUCGAGGAAGGACAUCACCCACAGAAGAAGCACCGGCUAACUCCGUGCCAGCAGCCGCGGUAAUACGGAGGGUGCGAGCGUUAAUCGGAAUUACUGGGCGUAAAGCGCGCGUAGGCGGUCUGAUAAGCCGGUUGUGAAAGCCCCGGGCUCAACCUGGGAACGGCAUCCGGAACUGGCAGGCUAGAGUGCAGGAGAGGAAGGUAGAAUUCCCGGUGUAGCGGUGAAAUGCGUAGAGAUCGGGAGGAAUACCAGUGGCGAAGGCGGCCUUCUGGACUGACACUGACGCUGAGGUGCGAAAGCGUGGGUAGCAAACAGGAUUAGAUACCCCUGUAGUC